CCUACGGGAGGCAGCAGUGAGGAAUAUUGGUCAAUGGGCGCGAGCCUGAACCAGCCACGUCGCGUGCAGGAUGACUGCCCUACGGGUUGUCAACUUCUUUUAUACAGGAAUAAAGUGAGGCACGUGUACCUUUUUGUCUGUACUUUAUGAAUAAGGAUCGGCUAACUCCGUGCCAGCAGCCGCGGUAAUACGGAGGAUCCGAGCGUUAUCCGGAUUUAUUGGGUUUAAAGGGUGCGUAGAUGGUUUUUUAAGUCAGUGGUGAAAGUUUGCGGCUCAACCGUAAAAUUGCAAUUGAUACUGGCAGUCUUGAGUACAGUUGAGGUAGGCGGAAUUCGUGGUGUAGCGGUGAAAUGCUUAGAUAUCACGAAGAACUCCGAUUGCGAAGGCAGCUUACUAAACUGCCACUGACAUUGAUGCGCGAAAGUGUGGGUAUCAAACAGGAUUAGAUACCCUUGUAGUC
Molecule: ribosomal RNA, 460 nt
Filed under: uncultured bacterium
Lineage: Bacteria
Description: partial 16S ribosomal RNA
Rfam family: Bacterial small subunit ribosomal RNA
Source: RNAcentral